This 478-nucleotide long non-coding RNA is filed under the name Brassica napus (rape). RNAcentral's name for it is "long non-coding RNA (BNAP_LNC025723)". Lineage: Eukaryota; Viridiplantae; Streptophyta; Magnoliopsida; Brassicales; Brassicaceae. The record is from RNAcentral.
UGAGGAACCUUAUUGGCUAGUUUAAAUCAAGCAUCUUUGACUACUCAUGCUUCUUAUCCUAGCUAGACUGAACCUGGACGUUUUUGUGUAUCUCUUAUCUAUAUAUGUUGUAAACUCUCUCAUUAAUCAAUCAAAUGGAGUUUUGAGUCUCUCUCUCUCUCUUGUUCUUAAUCUCCAAUCUCUUUAAUUCUCAGAUUAAACUUAAUCACUCUUUAAAUCACAAAAUCUAAUAUGGUAUCAGAGCCAGGUUCCUUUAAAAGGAGAGAGUGAUUUCGUUUUUCCAAAUGUUCUUGAGUGUUCUUGAGUGUUCUUGAGUGUUCUUGAGAGUUCUUGAGAUUUUUUCAAGAGCUAGAUCCUUUAAAAGUCAAGUUUGUGUCUGUUGGUGUUUCUUUUGGAGAGUCAGCUUCAAGGGAGUCCCUUUAGGUGUUUGACAAGGUCAGAAGAGGUGUCUAGCUUGUGGUUAAGCUUGGCGUGAGAG